AAAGGUGUAUAAAUAAAAAGGAUUAAGGUCUAAAAGACCUAAAAUAUAAAUAAAUCUCUAAAAUUCUAAUUCUUCUCAUUUAUAAAAAUAGCAAUAAUAUAACAAUAAAUAAAAAAACAAAAAGAAGAAAAAAAACCAAAAGAAAAACCCAAAGGCCAAGGUACUAGGGGAAGGCGCCACCCCCUUUUCCUUUCUUUCAAUCCCAUGAUCUUUUUUUUUUAUUUAAAAAAAACAAGACCAAGUCAUGGAAAUAUAAAU
RNAcentral lists this long non-coding RNA (258 nucleotides) under Lathyrus oleraceus (garden pea). RNAcentral describes it as "Pisum sativum (pea) long non-coding RNA (PSAT_LNC028378)". The record is from RNAcentral. Lineage: Eukaryota; Viridiplantae; Streptophyta; Magnoliopsida; Fabales; Fabaceae.